UAUACGAUGAAGAGUUUGAUCCUGGCUCAGGAUGAACGCUAGCGGCAGGCCUAACACAUGCAAGUCGAGGGGUAGAAAGAGCUUGCUUUUUUGAGACCGGCGCACGGGUGAGUAACGCGUAUGCAACCUACCUUAUACAGGGGAAUAGCCCGAAGAAAUUCGGAUUAAUGCUCCAUGGUUUAUCGAUAUGGCAUCGUAUUGAUAAUAAAGAUUUAUCGGUAUAAGAUGGGCAUGCGUAUCAUUAGCUAGGUGGUGUGGUAACGGCAUACCAAGGCAACGAUGAUUAGGGGUCCUGAGAGGGAGAUCCC
Molecule: ribosomal RNA, 308 nt
Filed under: Acinetobacter sp. 226-4
Lineage: Bacteria; Pseudomonadati; Pseudomonadota; Gammaproteobacteria; Moraxellales; Moraxellaceae
Description: partial 16S ribosomal RNA
Rfam family: Bacterial small subunit ribosomal RNA
Source: RNAcentral